GGGGUGAGUAACACGUGGAUAACCUACCUAUAAGACUGGGAUAACUUCGGGAAACCGGAGCUAAUACCGGAUAAUAUUUUGAACCGCAUGGUUCAAAAGUGAAAGACGGUCUUGCUGUCACUUAUAGAUGGAUCCGCGCUGCAUUAGCUAGUUGGUAAGGUAACGGCUUACCAAGGCAACGAUGCAUAGCCGACCUGAGAGGGUGAUCGGCCACACUGGAACUUAGACACGGUCCAG
RNAcentral lists this ribosomal RNA (237 nucleotides) under uncultured Staphylococcus sp. Its description in RNAcentral is "partial 16S ribosomal RNA". It matches the Rfam family "Bacterial small subunit ribosomal RNA", at positions 104 to 334 of the family's 1533-position model. The record is from RNAcentral. Lineage: Bacteria; Bacillati; Bacillota; Bacilli; Caryophanales; Staphylococcaceae.